GGGCCCGCACAAGCGGUGGAGCAUGUGGUUUAAUUCGAUGAUACGCGAGGAACCUUACCAGGGCUUAAAUGUAAGUUGCAUAGAUCAGAGAUGGUCUUUUCUUCGGACUACUUACAAGGUGCUGCAUGGUUGUCGUCAGCUCGUGCCGUGAGGUGUCAGGUUAAGUCCUAUAACGAGCGCAACCCCUAUCGUUAGUUGCCAGCGGGUAAUGCCGGGAACUCUAGCGAAACUGCCGGUGCAAACCGAGAGGAAGGUGGGGAUGACGUCAAAUCAUCACGGCCCUUACGUCCUGGGCUACACACGUGCUACAAUGGUUGGUACAGAGGGCAGCUACCGGGUGACCGGAUGCGAAUCUCUAAAGCCAAUCUCAGUUCGGAUUGGAGUCUGCAACUCGACUCUAUGAAGCUGGAAUC
This 413-nucleotide ribosomal RNA is filed under the name uncultured bacterium. RNAcentral describes it as "bacterial SSU rRNA". It matches the Rfam family "Bacterial small subunit ribosomal RNA", at positions 917 to 1333 of the family's 1533-position model. The record is from RNAcentral.